Molecule: long non-coding RNA, 2245 nt
Organism: Neogobius melanostomus (round goby)
Lineage: Eukaryota; Metazoa; Chordata; Actinopteri; Gobiiformes; Gobiidae
Source: Ensembl
UUGUUUGCUGGUGUGCUUGAUAUCUACAGGGAACUAUGUUGCAGCUCAUCAGACGGCCCAGAGAACUUUGCCUCCAGAUGUGUGGCCACCCCAGUUUGUGUGGUCUGGUCCGCCUGACUGGUUUCCUCCAGAAGGGCAAACACCACGCAGCAGUACUCGCGUUUAUAGCCCAAAGUCGUUCAACCCAGAUCGGCUCCACAGUGCAAACGCUUUAAACCCCAAUGAUGGCAGCAGAUAUCCGCACAAGAAACCUCAGACUUAUAAUUCAGUGGCCAGCCCAAAGACGUUUAGCAUACAGUUUCAAGCUCUCCCUUUCUCAAACAAAGGAUGUGGCCAUUCACAGUCAUCGAAGUGUCCCAAUAAACACCCGAAAGGUGCUUUAAAGCCUGGUGUUCAAAUUAGCUUAGCUCUUAGAACCACCGCAGCACCACCAUCUACCACCAGUGCGGCCAAUGCUGGAGUUUCAUAUUCAGGACACUCACAGAAUAAAUUUUUCAUAAUCCUUUUAAAGUGCCAGAGGUAAAUAAGCCAUCAGAUCUCAUCCCAGUUGCUCAGAAACUAUCACAAAGCGGGUUGGUAUCAUUCUUAAACAAGCUGCUUGUUCAGAGAGGACAGAGUAAUGCCCAAACACAACACAACAAAGUGGUUUUCAAACCAUUGGAACCACAACAGUCCUCACAAAGUCAAAGUGGGCCUUUCUCAAGUCCUCAAGCCCAAACAACUUCUGGAUGGGUCAAACGCACUCUGCAGGUUCCAGUGAUGCAGGAAGUGGUGCCCAGACUCCUGUCCAUCAAGCUGUCCAAAACACUGUAAACGUUCCCCUCAGUGGCACCAAAUUAACAAGCCACCAUUUUCCGACGAAGAUGUGAAAAAGGAUAUUUUACAGUCUGUGCAAUAUGUGAACGGUCAACUAAUGAUUCCUCUGGAGAAGUGCCCAGGUUAUGAAAAUUAGCAACUUUAAAAGUUUAUGUUCAACAACACGUGCCCCUCCCUGGUCGCCUCCCCACGGUCACGUUCACCAGCAUGGGUCGCCUCCCCACGGUCACGUUCACCAGCAUGGGUCGCUUCCCUACGGUCACUAUCACCAUCACAGGCCGUCCUCUUCACCUAGUGACCAAAUACAGACCCAACCAAAUUAUGACCAGUUUUUAAAUGUACAAGGCACGGCCCAGAGUCCCAUUGAACCACUACAAGAAACAAAUGUCCAGCUGUCCAGAGUGUAUCAAGAAAAUCCGUUCAGGCGGUGGCAACAUUCAUUGUCAAGAGGACCCCAAUAUCCAAUCCUCAUCAAACCUAUACAUCAUAUGUGCACGAGGAGCCUGAGCAGUCUGGGUCAAACUACAUGGUGCAACCUGACGCCCAAAGUCAGUACUGAUGUCUUCUCUGGCUCCAGAAGCAAAGUUGGCGGGAUCCAUAUUAAACAAAUUCCCUACUCUAUUAAAGUGAACAAUUUGUACUACUUUGACGCAUACUUGUCUUGUUCUCUUACUGGCUUAACUUGUGUAUCCCACUCAAACAUUUGGUAAGCAAUUUAAAUCCCAUGCCUGGGGGAAAAAAAGACUGUUCACAAAUUAUAAAACAUGUUUGAGGAUUGAUCCUAAAACUGGCAGGUCUGUUGCAGUAACAAAUCCUUGUUUUGAGUUUGGUCUUAGAGAAAUAAAAUUUUAACUGUUUAUUAAAUGGUGGAGUGGAAAUCAUUUGUUUAAACUGAAGUAUAUUCUGAAAUGCCUUCAUGGCCCAAAAAAGGGAAUCCAUAUUGCCCCAUCCUAACCGGCUUUCGUUAUAAGUGGGCACGGGAGUUAUUUGGAUUUUGAUGCACUAUGCAACUUGUGUAAGGAAAAAAACGGUUCAUAUUGAACCUGUUUUAACGAUUUAACCUUUGUGCUUAACCUCAAAACUCAGCCAAGAUAUUACAUGGGAGGGGACAGGUUACUACAUAGAAAAUAAAGAUUAAUCUUGAUACACUUACUGAAUGGUCCACAUUGUAAAAUGAGGUCUGUGCGGUAUUGGCCGUUAAAAUUUAGAAAUAAACUUUUUUUUUUGGCUGGUGAAAAGGUCUGAAAAUGGCACCAAAUACAGAAAAGGUCAUGUGAUUAAAAUCUAUCAAGAUGGACCAUUGAAUGUGAAACCUUUCUUCUGGAGCCAAUUAUCUAACUUUAUUCUUCCUGGUUAAACACUUGCCCCUAAGCUUUUAGCAUUUCCCAAGACUCACCAACAUUAAAAAAGAAAUGCGUCAUACUCCGUG